ACGGGGGGAGGAAAGUAGGGGAUCGUAAGACCUCGCGUUAUUGGAGCGGCCGAUGCCGGAUUAGCUAGUUGGUGGGGUAAAGGCUCACCAAGGCGACGAUCCGUAGCUGGUCUGAGAGGACGACCAGCCACACUGGGACUGAGACACGGCCCAGACUCCUACGGGAGGCAGCAGUGGGGAAUUUUGGACAAUGGGCGCAAGCCUGAUCCAGCCAUGCCGCGUGAGUGAGGAAGGCCUUCGGGUUGUAAAGCUCUUUCGCAAGGAAAGAAAACUUACCUAUUAAUACUAGGUGAGGUUGACGGUACCUUGAUAAGAAGCACCGGCUAACUACGUGCCAGCAGCCGCGGUAAUACGUAGGGUGCGAGCGUUAAUCGGAAUUACUGGGCGUAAAGCGUGCGCAGGCGGUUUUGUAAGUCAGAUGUGAAAUCCCCGGGCUCAACCUGGGAACUGCGUUUGAAACUACAAGGCUAG
RNAcentral lists this ribosomal RNA (471 nucleotides) under uncultured Nitrosospira sp. Its description in RNAcentral is "bacterial SSU rRNA". It matches the Rfam family "Bacterial small subunit ribosomal RNA", at positions 192 to 644 of the family's 1533-position model. The record is from RNAcentral. Lineage: Bacteria; Pseudomonadati; Pseudomonadota; Betaproteobacteria; Nitrosomonadales; Nitrosomonadaceae.